Long non-coding RNA from Zalophus californianus (California sea lion), 797 nucleotides. RefSeq lists it as uncharacterized. Lineage: Eukaryota; Metazoa; Chordata; Mammalia; Carnivora; Otariidae. The record is from RefSeq and is a predicted model, not a curated record. The transcript is spliced from 3 exons.
CUGCCUGCAGUGAUGGGCAUUUAGAAGUCAGAAGUACAAUCACCAUGGAAAUAACUAGAAACAAGAAGGGAAAGAGAAAAAAGACUCAAGGGUGACACCAAAAGACAGCAGGGCCAUUUCUGACAUCGGGAACCCAAGAGCAGGACAUUCGGUUCCAAUAGCCAACACAGGCAAGGAGAGCCAGAACUACCCAGGAUUUACAGCUCCCUGAGGAGAGCCCUAGCAAAUGACUCCUGAUGCAGAAAGAAGUAUAACUACUCCAGAUUCCUUGCUCCUGGUCCGGACCUCUGUGAGAGAGAGAGACUGCGAGAGAGGGAACACAAGCAGGGGGAGCCGGAGAGGGUGAAGCCGGUUUCCCGCGGAAGAGGGAGCCCGAUGCGGAGCUCGAUCCCAGGAUUCCAGGACCAUGACCCGAGCCAAAGACAGACGCUUAAUGGCUGAGCCAGCCAGGCGCCCCCACUCAGCAAACGUUUAAGACUAAUGACACCAAGUGUUGGUCAAGAAUGUAGAACAAUCAGAAUAUUAGUACAUUCCUGGCAGCAGCGUAAACUGCACAAACAUGUGGAAGAAAAUCUAACCUUAUGAAGUAUAAAGUCGAGCAGGCUCACCCCUUACAACACAGUGAUCCCAUCCCUAAACAUAUACUCCAGAAAAUACAAAUUUACGAAGGCAGACACGUGGAUGAGAAUAUCCACUGAGCAGUUUACAAUGGCUAGCUCUUGGAAACCAUCUUAAUUUCUACCAAUAGGAGAUAGAUUGUAAUUGAUUCUUAUACUAGACCAAUUAACAGCAGUGAA